CCUGUUCAAGCCCAAACUUUACCGAGCACCUUCGUCUCCAUUGCCAAACCAUUUCUCUUCCCCUCUUCCUCUCUUUAUCGCCAAAACAUUCACUGCCUUCGUCUUCACAGAAGCCUAGAUCGCUCGCGAGGCGGGCUGCUCGCGAGGCGGGCUUCUUGCAGCGGCCGUUCGCUGCUCAACCUGGAGUAGCGAUAGGGGAGGAAGAGAAGCGUAUCCCGGCCAUGGUGACCUUCCAAUCCAGCAUGGGUCCUUCCGUCGUAGUUUAUUGCAGGCUCGUAGUUGGGAGCACUGAAAUCACUCAUCGACAAGGAUAAAGGAAGGGGGAAGGACAUGGAUGACGGCCCUGACGGUGGCGGGCAACUUCGUGCUGUUGUUCUUCUUGACGCCACUCCUGGCAUUGAUUCCGGCUUGGGCGGUGGGGCCGCCGCUGGUGCUGGGGGGCGUGCUGAUGAUGAAGACGGUAGUGGAGGUGGAAUGGGAGAACAUGAGGGAAGCCAUCCCCGCCUUAGUCACCAUCAUUUUGAUGCCCCUCACCUACUUAAUUAUGUAAGACCUCAUCGGUAGCAUUGCCACCUACAUCGUCCUCCGCCUUUGCGAAUACAUCUACUCUGUUCUCGUCAAGAGCUUCCAUCUUCUCCGCAAUAGCUCUGCUUUAUUACCUUGUUCGAUCAAUGUGGAUGGUUGAGACUAAAGAUGGUUAUCUUUUGUCCAUUCAACAUGUUUAUCAUGGGAAAACUACUUUGGGAGAAAGGCAUGGCCCUUCGGUUUUCCUCCAACAUGGUCUUUUCAGGAGUUCUCAAUGAUACUGGGAAGAAUGCCAGAAAGUCAAAAAAUGGAGACUUUAGCAGAUUAAGGAGUAAUGGGAGCUAUAGUGCUGCCUCUUCAUCGACAUCUAAGUAGAAAAAUCUCAUAUUGUUGUAUUGGUCUACCUUUGUUUUAUUAGUGUCGGUACUUGCCAUUAUGUUAGUUGUUUAUAAAAUUUCUUUAGAAUGUUGUAAAUAUUAUUUUUGAAUGUUAAAAAAUUAUAUAUUAAAUUUUAUUAUCAAAUUUGUAUUUUAAA
Zingiber officinale is the source of this 1060-nucleotide long non-coding RNA. RefSeq lists it as uncharacterized. The record is from RefSeq and is a predicted model, not a curated record. Lineage: Eukaryota; Viridiplantae; Streptophyta; Magnoliopsida; Zingiberales; Zingiberaceae. The transcript has 3 exons.